GCUAAUGUGGCAGAGCCUGGCAAUUGCAAAAGGCCUAAGCCCUUUUAAUCAGGGGUUCAAAUCCCCUCAUUCAGCU
This 76-nucleotide transfer RNA is filed under the name Muraenesox cinereus (daggertooth pike conger). RNAcentral's name for it is "tRNA-Leu". It matches the Rfam family "tRNA". Rfam says of the family: Transfer RNA (tRNA) molecules are approximately 80 nucleotides in length. Their secondary structure includes four short double-helical elements and three loops (D, anti-codon, and T loops). Lineage: Eukaryota; Metazoa; Chordata; Actinopteri; Anguilliformes; Muraenesocidae. The record is from RNAcentral.